Molecule: long non-coding RNA, 550 nt
Filed under: Coffea arabica (coffee)
Lineage: Eukaryota; Viridiplantae; Streptophyta; Magnoliopsida; Gentianales; Rubiaceae
Description: long non-coding RNA (CARA_LNC001683)
Source: RNAcentral
AAAAAAAAAAAAAAACGACUCGUUUGCGGCCGGCCCUAAUUUAUACAAUAAUAAGAAAGGGAGCAAUAAACUGUAUAAAAUUUCUUACUCGAAUCUAGCCUUGGUCGCCAUUUAAAACCAAACUUGAGAAAUUUAAAGACGUAGAAGACAGUUCUUAAAGUGGAUGAAGAAAGUAGGAAUAAAAAAUCUGGAUCAUUCGCUCACACACACUACUUCAUUUGGGUGGUUGCUGCGUGUGAUUAUGUGCAUUCACACCUGUGAUUGUCUGGAAGAAGGAAGGCGCCAGAGCGUUGUGCAGUAAAUUUAUUUUCGGACACUGUGACUGCUGUUUUUAUCUGCACGGUGCGGACAGCAGGGAGAAAGGAGCAUCUGUUUCACGUACCACUCCUGCAAGUGAAAAACUGACAAUUAAGAUCCAGUUACCGUGCAGAUGCAUCUCUUGGAUGACUCGCUCUUACCGGAUUAUUGAAUUUUAAUCCCAGAUUAUGAACUUCACGCACAUGAACACACACUACUGGGAGAGGUGAAAGCGUCUGUUGUUAUAGGGAAG